Canis lupus familiaris (dog) is the source of this 567-nucleotide long non-coding RNA. RefSeq lists it as uncharacterized. Lineage: Eukaryota; Metazoa; Chordata; Mammalia; Carnivora; Canidae. The record is from RefSeq and is a predicted model, not a curated record. The transcript is spliced from 5 exons.
AGCAAGCUGACCCAAGAAGCUGCAUUCACAGUCCUGGACCUGUCUUGGAGUUCAGUCACUGGGAGGACUCCAGAGUUCACAUCACGCUUCUUGAAAUGCUGGAUGUACCCAGAGCAACCAGAGAUCUGGGAUGGAUUACAAGGCCUCCUUGAAGAUGUACUUGACUGAAGGAACACAGCGACAGGGAAGAGCAGUUUCAUGGUUUUUUUAUGCCAUGCAGUACUGUAUCUGGUAAACUCGAGUCUACAAAGCCCACAGAAAGUAAGGGAAUUCUGAACUAGAAGAGGAUGAACUGGAAGCAGAAGAUCCUGUAGAUUCACCAUGUUUCCUUCCCAGUGGUCCCACAGGACACUGUGAGUAUGGUGAGAAGAAGCAGCUCUGAAGUCUGGAAAGGUGUGCUUCCUAGUGCAGCCUUUUCUGAACCUGCUUGAUCAUUGGAACUCCCUCAGGUUGCUGGAACUGACCAGAGGCACACGGGGGAGCUUCCUUGGCAAAUGACAGUGACCAGAGCCGAAUCAAGCUGUCUCAGCAGAGAGAGCAAGCAAGAAAGAAUGAGAGCAAGAGGGA